RNAcentral lists this ribosomal RNA (608 nucleotides) under uncultured Actinomycetes bacterium. RNAcentral's name for it is "bacterial SSU rRNA". It matches the Rfam family "Bacterial small subunit ribosomal RNA", at positions 251 to 869 of the family's 1533-position model. The record is from RNAcentral. Lineage: Bacteria; Bacillati; Actinomycetota; Actinomycetes.
GGUGGGGUAAUGGCCUACCAAGGCGGCGACGGGUAGCCGGACUGAGAGGUUGGUCGGCCACAUUGGGACUGAGAUACGGCCCAGACUCCUACGGGAGGCAGCAGUGGGGAAUAUUGCACAAUGGGCGCAAGCCUGAUGCAGCGACGCCGCGUGGGGGAUGACGGCCUUCGGGUUGUAAACUCCUUUCGCCAGGGACGAAGCGUUUUGUGACGGUACCUGGAGAAGAAGCACCGGCUAACUACGUGCCAGCAGCCGCGGUAAUACGUAGGGUGCAAGCGUUGUCCGGAAUUACUGGGCGUAAAGAGCUCGUAGGUGGUUUGUCACGUCGUCUGUGAAAUUCCACAGCUUAACUGUGGGCGUGCAGGCGAUACGGGCUGACUUGAGUACUGUAGGGGUAACUGGAAUUCCUGGUGUAGCGGUGAAAUGCGCAGAUAUCAGGAGGAACACCGAUGGCGAAGGCAGGUUACUGGGCAGUUACUGACGCUGAGGAGCGAAAGCAUGGGUAGCAAACAGGAUUAGAUACCCUGGUAGUCCAUGCCGUAAACGGUGGGCGCUAGGUGUAGGGACCUUUUGGGGUUUCUGUGCCGUAGCUAACGCAUUAAGCGCCC